UACGAAGGGUGCAAGCGUUACUCGGAAUUACUGGGCGUAAAGCGUGCGUAGGUGGUUCGUUAAGUCUGAUGUGAAAGCCCUGGGCUCAACCUGGGAAUGGCAUUGGAAACUGGCGAGCUAGAGUACGGUAGAGGAGAGUGGAAUUCCCGGUGUAGCAGUGAAAUGCGUAGAGAUCGGGAGGAACAUCAGUUGCGAAGGCGGCUCUCUGGACCAGUACUGACGCUGAGGCACGAAAGCGUGGGGAGCAAACAGG
RNAcentral lists this ribosomal RNA (253 nucleotides) under uncultured bacterium. Its description in RNAcentral is "partial 16S ribosomal RNA". It matches the Rfam family "Bacterial small subunit ribosomal RNA", at positions 524 to 776 of the family's 1533-position model. The record is from RNAcentral.